This 454-nucleotide ribosomal RNA is filed under the name uncultured bacterium. RNAcentral's name for it is "partial 16S ribosomal RNA". It matches the Rfam family "Bacterial small subunit ribosomal RNA", at positions 28 to 507 of the family's 1533-position model. The record is from RNAcentral.
GAUGAACGCUGACAGAAUGCUUAACACAUGCAAGUCAACUUGAACUUCGGUUUGGGUGGCGGACGGGUGAGUAACGCGUAAAGAACUUGCCUCACAGCUAGGGACAACAUUUGGAAACGAAUGCUAAUACCUGAUAUUAUGAUUAUAUGGCAUCGUAUAAUUAUGAAAGCUAUAUGCGCUGUGAGAGAGCUUUGCGUCCCAUUAGCUAGUUGGAGAGGUAACAGCUCACCAAGGCGAUGAUGGGUAGCCGGCCUGAGAGGGUGAUCGGCCACAAGAGGACUGAGACACGGCCCUUACUCCUACGGGAGGCAGCAGUGGGGAAUAUUGGACAAUGGACCGAGAGUCUGAUCCAGCAAUUCUGUGUGCACGAUGAAGUUUUUCGGAAUGUAAAGUGCUUUCAGUUGGGAAGAAAAAAAUGACGGUACCAACAGAAGAAGUGACGGCUAAAUACGUG